UGGUGAAUAUUUGACAAUGGGCGAAAGCCUGAUCCAGCCAUGCCUCGUGUGUUAAGAAGGUCUUCGGAUUGUAAAGCACUUUAAGUUGGGAGGAAGGGCAGUAAGCUAAUACCUUGCUGUUUUGACGUUACCGACAGAAUAAGCACCGGCUAACUCUGUGCCAGCAGCCGCGGUAAUACAGAGGGUGCAAGCGUUAAUCGGAAUUACUGGGCGUAAAGCUCGCGUACGUGUUUCGUUAAGUUGAAUGUGAAAGCCCCGGGCUCAACCUGGGAAAUGCAUCAAAAACUGGCGAGCUAGAGUAGGGCAGAGGGUGGUGGAAUUUCCUGUGUAGCGGUGAAAUGCGUAGAUAUAGGAAGGAACACCAGUGGCGAAGGCGAAAACCUGGGAUCAUACUGACACUGAGGUGCGAAAGCGUGGGGAGCAAACAGG
This 429-nucleotide ribosomal RNA is filed under the name Pseudomonadota bacterium. RNAcentral describes it as "Proteobacteria bacterium partial 16S ribosomal RNA". It matches the Rfam family "Bacterial small subunit ribosomal RNA", at positions 355 to 776 of the family's 1533-position model. The record is from RNAcentral. Lineage: Bacteria; Pseudomonadati; Pseudomonadota.